Molecule: ribosomal RNA, 406 nt
Filed under: uncultured bacterium
Lineage: Bacteria
Description: partial 16S ribosomal RNA
Rfam family: Bacterial small subunit ribosomal RNA
Source: RNAcentral
AUUGAACGCUGGCGGCAGGCCUAACACAUGCAAGUCGAACGAGUGGCGGACGGGUGAGUAAUGUCUGGGAAACUGCGCGAUGGAGGGGGUUAACUACUGGAAACGGUAGCUAAUACCGCCUACCAUCGGAUGUGCCGAGAUGGGAUUAGCUAGUGGGAGGGGUAAUGGCUCACCUCGGCGACGAUCCCUAGCUGGUCGGAGAGGAGGACCAGCCACACUGGAACUGGGACACGGUCCAGACUCCUACGGGAGGCAGCAGUGGGGAAUAUUGGACAAUGGGCGCAAGCCUGAUGCAGCCAUGCCGCGUGUAUGAAGAAGGCCUUCGGGUUGUAAAGUACUUUCAGCGAGGAGGCGUUACUCGCAGAAGAAGCACCGGCUAACUCCGUGCCAGCAGCCGCGGUAAUUC